Long non-coding RNA from Patella vulgata (common limpet), 8122 nucleotides. RefSeq lists it as uncharacterized. The record is from RefSeq and is a predicted model, not a curated record. The transcript has 7 exons. Lineage: Eukaryota; Metazoa; Mollusca; Gastropoda; Patellidae.
GGUUCGCCCCCGGUCGGUGUUGGCCUAGAAAGUUCCCCGGGGAUUGUCAGGUCCCCCUUGUCCGUGGCCCAGGACAGCAUUUGACAAUAGAUAACAAAACAAACCUCAUCUCUCAACCUAGUUACUAUACUUGUAACGUUAAACUGUGUGGCUGGAGUAAGGCGGAAGACAUCAGUACAGUACUCAGUAGUGGUACCAUUUUUACUCUCAACCCUCCGUACACAUCAAUUGGUAUAACCUCAACAAACAGUAUCAGUAUGGUUUGUGUAGUAAGGCAGGAUGUUUAUUGUCUAAUAUCAGCAAUAUGUAUGUUUGUAGUCUCUGUCCAUGGUGUUGCACAGACAGCAAUAUCUUGUGGUGAAUCUGAAGGAGUUGUAGGACAGCCACAAGUCCUAAGUUGUAGUAUUUCUGGUAGUAUAGAAAACAAUAUAUUCUGGUAUCGUUAUAAUGCAACUUAUAACGAGAAUAUAGUUCAAUGUUCUACUUCAUUGGCCAAAACUGUUAGUACAUGUGUAGCACCACCUGAUUUAAGAUCUCGGUAUAAUGUUAGCACUGAGAAACAACCCCCAAGAAAGCCAUCAUUUACAAUUAUCUCUGUAUCAGAGGAAGAUUUAAAAGUAUUGUGGUUAUGUUUGGACAGGAUUACGUUCCCAGAUAGAACAUCAAUACCCCCUUCUUCAACAUGCAGUUUAAAACAAGGACCUUCACCUGAUCGAGACUGCCGUUUGGAAGCUGGUGUGGCAUUUAUCAGUGAUUUCGUUGCUGGUGUUGUUGUUUUCUUGGUGAUAAUCUUUGUUAUUAACACAGAUCUGAGUGCCCCGUCAAUGAUUGUAAUCUUUGUUAUUUUUGCUGUUGCAUCUGGAAUUCUUGGUGCUGGAUCGUGGGCAGCAUGUAAUAAUGGUAUAUCAGUUGGUGGAAUAGUUGGUAUCAAUAUCGGCUGUAUGCUCGCUGUAUUUAUAAUAACAAUUCUAGUUAUGAGAGCCGCUUGUCAAUUACAAUACAAUACAGUACAGACUUGAAUGAUAUCACACGGUGGAUUGAACAGUUCAUUAGAUACCAUCAUAACAUCAUGGUUGCUGUACGUGUCAUGUCUUUAUCAACUAAACUACAUGUUAAUAGAUUCGUCUUUCAACUGUCUAUAUGUAUGCACCAAUUUUUUAUUUUUUGUCCUUCAGACAAACCGGUUAAAAUGUUGCUUCAGGAAAAAAAAAUAAUUUACAAGCAAAGAAUAUUUGGUUGCUCUUCUCAAAAGCUUUCAAUUCGAAAUUUUAAACAAUUCAUUUUGGACGAGUUUCACGUGGAUAUUUAUCAGAAGAACAAAAAAUGAAAUUACUAUGACCACAGCAUAAUCCUUUAUUUGUUUAUGUCAUUUUGAUAAAUAAUUACUUUAUUAAAUCCUGGCACCUAACAUCUUUCAUCGAUAAAAAUAUAUUUUAUAAGUAAGCCUAUAAAGUGAAACAUAAUUCAACAAUUGUAAUUAUUAUUUAAUGAUUUAUUCAAUAAUCUUUAUGGUGAAAUUUGUUAAUUUGUGCCUUUUUCACCUUUGGUUUACAUCAUAAUUUAUAUAAAAUUAAUUUUCUUAUUUUAAGUUCUAAUUUCUCUUUAAAAGAAGUAUUUGUUAGGGUUUUAUAAUAACUUUUACUUGUUAUUUAAUCAUUAUGCAUAAUUUACACUAAUUCAUCUUGCCUUAUCUUGCUUCAAGUUCUAAUAUAUUAACAAAUUAUUAUAAUACCCUCUUCCUGGCGCAAGUUUCAAUAUAUUGUAAUACCAAUCAAUGUACCCGGUGAUGAUUUUUGCGAGCUCUUAUUCUUCCUCAGUAUUCAGUCAUUGAAAAUAUUGAACAACAUUAUGAAUAAAUUAUAUAUGGAAGAGUGUAUUGUUUUAUUAUAUCAGUCAAAUGAAAUAAUUUAAUUGUACUUUACCUACUUAUAUAUACAUAUGUAUAUAUAUAUAUAGAAUAAAAGUAAAGAUUUCAGCUCGUAUUAUAUAUCCAAAAAACAAUAGUAUGAAUUUAACAACUAUAUCAUUAUUAACUGUUUAUUGACUGUCUACCACUGUUUGUCGUGUAUUUUGUACACGGGGAGCAGUCCAUUUGCUGAUUACACUAUUUAGCUCGAAUACACUAUUUUGCCAAAACGUUUUUUAGGACUUUGAAUUCUGUCUUAUGGUUUGGAUUGUUCGUACUUGGUUUUAUUUUAUUGUUAUGUUAUGUCCUGAAGAUGCCCCAGACAGUGAUAAAACAAUUAAUAAUAAUAUAGUUGUUAAAUUCAUACUAUUAUAUUUUGGAUAUAGAUUGAUUGAUUGAUUGAUUGAUGACUCGUAAUAAUCAUAUUUAAUAUGAUCUAAAAAUAAUAUUUAUCUUGAUAUUUGUUUAAUCAUUUUUUUUUUAAUGAGACAAAAAGUCAGAUUUACAAUCAUGCCCAAAACAAAAUUUGAUCAAAAGAAAUUGAUGUUUAUUGUUUUAUUAAAUCAGUCAAUCAAACGCUCAGUUUUCAUAUUAUUGUGCCAUAUAUUAUUAAUAUCUGAAUAUGUCUAUAGAGGGCAUACAGAUAGAUUAUGAUUUGGUGUAUAUAAAAUGAUUUUUAUAUGGCCAUCUUGAAAUUCGGUCAUAUAUUGUCGUCAUCCCCAUUCGUCCAGGGUCCAUAAUUACUGCCAAAGUUUCACUUUGAAAAAUCCUGUAGACACUCUAUUGCUUUUCGAUAAUUGUUGCCAGAGUUAUGGCCCUUGAUCACUUUGAAAUAUCUUGUGGACGCUCUAGAGGUUAAAUUUAAUAUAAAUUUAUUCACAGUGUUUAUGGUCAUGAGACGAAGAAUCCUAUUGCUUUUCGAUAAUUGUUGCCAGAUUUAUGGCCCUUGAUCACUUUGAAAUAUCUUGUGGACGCUCUAGAGGUUAAAUUUAAUAUAAAUUUAUACACAGUGUUUAAGGUGAUGAGAUGAACAAUGGAAACCAAUUCUAAUGAUUUCUGGUAAUUACCUAAUAAAGGGUUGUUACUGGUAAUCAGAUUUUCAUGUGUUGUAAAUCUUUUCAUUACUAACAAAAUAAAAUAUAUGCGAUAACCCUUGUUGAAAGCCUGGACGACGUUACGGCUAUGGGUGUAUGUUUCGUUACCUGGCAACCUAUCUUUUACCUGACAUAUUUUUUAUUUAUUCAUGUAUAUAUACAUAAAUAAGUUUUUUUGUUUUUUUAUAUUGAAACUGUUUAAUCCACACUGUAGUCAUGGCAACUUGAAGUUUACUAUAGAGUGUGUAGAUUUCAUACUAUCAUGGCAACUUGGACGUUUACUAUAGUUUAUGUAGAUUUCAUACUAUCAUGUUGGAUUCUCUGAGAUAAUUUGAAAUAUCAGUGAUUCCUAUCUAUCUAGGCCAAGAAAUCUAAUUAUAUUAUUCUCUAAUGUUUUGAUUAAUCAUUUUCAGAUCUUUUUUAUGUUCAGUUUAAAUAAUAAUAGUUUUAUUGACCUUCUUAUAAAUUAUAUGUUACAUCUGUGAGUUUUAUUGGCCUUCUCAUAAAUUAUAUGUUGGAUCUGUGAGUUUUAUUAAUAUAUAUGAUACGAUUUAUAAAUAUAUAGGAUAUAUUUUAAGGCUUGAUUUAUUGAUAUGUUUUUCUCCUCGAGAACUAUUAUUUUAUUCAUCUUCUGUUAUUAACGAUUUCUAUUAUUUGUUUUCUUAUUUCUUAAAAUAACAGAUUUAAAAUCUGUAACUUUUUUUUAUUGCUAUUAUUAAUGAAGUCAUCAAAUUUGUGUCCUAAUUGUAUUGUUAUAAAUCUCUGUUGCUUGUAGUUCUAGUUGCUUGUAGUUCUAGCUUUUACUUAGAUAUAUUGAUGGUAUCUAUCUCUAUUUGUGCUAUGUCAGUACCCAUUGUAUUGGUUAGGUUUUAAAGUGUACCAGUUCUAUAAAGUACAAUUUAAAUGAGUACACAUUGAAUUGGUUAGGUUUAAAAGUGUACCAGUUCUAUAGAGUACAAUUUAAAUGAGUACACAUUGUAUUGGUUAGGUUUUAAAGUGUACCAGUUCUAUAGAGAACAAUUUAAAUGAGUACACAUUGUAUUGUUUAGGUUUUUAAUUUGUACCAAUUCUAUAGAGUACAAUUUAAAUGAGUACACAUUGUAUUGGUUAGGUUUUUAAUUUGUACCAAUUCUAUAGAGUACAAUUUAAAUGAGUACACACUGUAAUAUAUUUAAUUCGUAAAUAAAGUAAUUCACAAUUAUGAUAUUAAUCAUUACACCCUAAACCUUAUUCAAUACACAAUACACAGUGUAUCUCUACAAUAUCUACACACACUGAAACUGUGUUCCAGCCAUUCCUUUUGUAUUCUUUUAAAUCUGUAAACUUGUGUUUUCUUUAUGAUAAUUUUUUAAAAUCAUGUGAUGUUUUUCAACUAUGUCAAUCUUAACAAGCUAAUUGAGUCCAGGGGAAGAACGAUCUAAGUCAUAUUUUUGUCUUUUCGCAUAAAACGCAAAACAGACUUUUAGACGAGAAUGCUUGAUGCGAACAGAACAACAAGUGGGUUUAACAACAACUUCAAAAUGAUAUUUAACACAAACCAUAAUUACCAGUACAACUGACUUCAACUUUUCAGACAAAUUAAGGUUAAAUAAAGGGUACGAUGGACUUGUAUUUGUCUGGGAAGCCAUUUCAGAAGGGCCUUGGUUCGAUGUGACUCUGAUUGUUUUUACCUGAAAUAGAUUGUUCCACAAAAAGCUUAUACAAUUUGCUGCCAGAUGGCGCAAUUAACUGGGGUUCGUGGAAAAAGUGACUUAGAUCGUUCUUCACCUGGAUUCUACCUUCUCACCAUUGUGCUUGUGAGUACUACUUGUAAUUGUGUUUAAUAUCAAUACACUUUCACAAGAUACAGGGAAAUAAGAUAUACAAGUUUCAGGGCACUGAAAACGACAUUCAAGAUUCAAGGAAAUUUGAGGUAUUGCUAUCAAAUUCAAAGAGAUUAUUUUUAAUGUAGAAGCAUUUUGAAUAUUUGGGAGAGUUUAAUGAACUUCAAGUAAUUAUCAUAUUUAUCUUAGAAAUUAAUCUGUUAAAUUAGGUUUAUAAUUAUGUUGUAUAACAUAUCCAUCAGAAUAUAAUGAUGCAGUAUUAUAAACUAUGUACCUCUUAAAUUGCACAGAAAACAUCUAUAUUGCACAACAAGAAACUAAUACCUCACAGGUGACAUGGCACCGAUUACCUUUUGUCGAGAAAUUUCCUAAACUAGAAAGACAAAUAGUCAAAUAAACCCUAGUCUAUAUUUAAGGAAAUUGUCUCUCUAUAUAUAUGUAUAUAUAUAUAUAUAUAUAUAUAUAUAUAUAUAUAUAUAAUUGUUGAUAAUAUUGUGUGCUCAUUAUUACUAUGUUAUUCAUAAUCAUUGUAUUUUUAAAGUAUGUCUCUUUGGUAUGUGUUCACCAUAACAUGCAUAAUAUAUCACCAUCAUAAAAUGCAUUACCAUCAUAGCAUGCAUAAAUUAUCACCAUGGUAGCAUGCACAAUUUAUCACCAUGGUAGCAUGCAUAUGUAUAAUAUAUCACCAUCACUAGCAUGCAUAGUUUAUCACCACCAUAACAUGCAUAAUUUAUUUCUGAAACACAAUUGAGUAAAACGUUAAUAUUGGUUAGCUGUUAUAUCCAUUUGUUUGGAUAGCAAGGUGCCAUUUAAUAACAAAAGACAAAAAUGAGAUAAGAAAAAUGAAGUUUAAAUUCCGCUCAACACAAACAAAAAUAUUGCAUAUGUUAGUCUUAAAAUUACGUGAUGUUAAAAUUGUAUAUCUACAACUAGACAUGACGUUAAAACUAUAUCUACCAUCUAGACAGCGUCACUUGAUGAUAUGGAGAUGUAUUUCCUAUUAUUUAUAUUUAUACCAUAUAAUCUUCUGUAUCUUAUGUUUUAAUAUUGAUGUAUAAAUACUUGUAAUGUAUUAGCUUUUUAAUAUAGCCGUGUGAAAUAUACAUGUUCUACUGUAUAUUGUUAGAUUUACUUUAUAUACGCCCACUUAUAUUGUCGUCCGUCGAUCCGGCAUCCACACUCUCAAGGCUAAAGUUAAUAUACGAUCAACUUUUAAUUUAUAGCCUACAUACUGUUUAAGGUCAUGAGACGAACAGGCCAAUUGAGUAUAGCCCUUGACCUCUUUGAAAAAUCUUGUAGAAGCGCUUGGUUGGGGCUAAAGUAAAUAGCUGAUUAACUUUAAACAGUGAUAUGUCAUGAGACGUAGACUCCUAUUCAUUUUCAAAGAUUUCCAAUAAUUACUGACAGAGUUUAGGCCCUUGAUCACUUUGAAAAAUCUUGUGGACACUAGAGAGGCUAAAGUCAAUAUAAAUUGUUGAAGGUCAUGAGGCAAACAAUCGAAACAAAUUCUAAAGAUUUCUGUUAAUUACUUAAUGGGUUAAUACUUCUAAUCAGAUUUUCAGGUGUUGUAAAUGUCCACCUUACUGACAAAAGAAAAAAAUAUGCAACCCUUGUUGACUGCCCUGACGACUUUGCUGCGUGGGCGUGGAUUUAGAAUCGGAAGGGGGGACGAAUAGGUCUCUGCCCCCACCCCCGCCCAAUGAUUUUGAUCGCCAGGACAGAUUUUCAGGUUUAUAUCCAGAUUAAUGUCCCAUUCUGUAGGUUAUCUAACCACUGCCUUGGGUCUCGGCACAGUUACUGAUCUUCACGAUAUCUUCCUCCUUAAUUGUAGGUAGUCAGUUUUUCAAUAUCGUCAUCAUUAUUACCCCUAGCUACAGCUUUCAUCAAAAUAACACUGGUAAAGUAAACUGUUCGAAAUUAUUAUUUUGGUUUGGGAAUGAAAGGUUCCGGGGUUCGUCCGUCCCGCCCCCCCCCCCCCCCAAAAAAAAAAAGUUAUGACAAAUCCACGCCCUUGGGUGUAUGUUUCGUUGCUUUGCAACCUAUGUUUUAAAUAUGUAGGGAUUGUUUAGUGUGUCAUGUUAUUAUGUUUAAUAUUAACUCCCAAUCAUUUUCCAUAAUUAACACAAGAAAAGAAAUUGAUCUAUGUAAUUCUUGUGUCAAAUAUGAAAAACUGAUCCAUGUGAUUGUGCAAUUUUAUAUCUGUAUUAGUUAGGGAUAUUAUUACAUUUUGUUUUUAUACGCCCACAUUUUCAUGUGGACGCAUUAUGCCGUUGCCCCUGUCUGUCUGUCCGUUCACAAUUUGUUUGUGGACACUGUACAGGUCACAAUUUUUAUCCGAUUUUGACAAAACUUGAAAUAUAGGUCUAUCUCCCAAAGAUCUUGAUUCCUUUCGAUAUUGGCAUGUAUCGGACCAUAACCGCUCCUGAUCACGUAUUUAGCUUGUGGACACUUUAGAGGUCACAAUUUUCUCCCGAUUUUGAUGAAACUUGAAAAACAUGUUUAUAAGCCAAGGAUCUUGGUUCCUUUCGAUAUUCGCGCAUAUUGGAUUGUAAUCUCCUUAAUUAUGAUCCCUGAUUGUACGAAAAAUCACAUUUUUAGCUUGUAGUCCCUCUAGAGGUCACAAUUAUUAUCCGAUUUAAAAAACAGUUCGAAUAUAUAACCGUUACACCGUAAUGUCUGUUGAGUUCGAAUUUCAUGAAAAUUGGGCCAAAUCUGCCAGACAAAAUGGUCGCCCCUCGUACGCAAAUAGUGUAAGCAUCUGGUUCAUCAAGGUUGUGGAGCCUCUAGAGGUCACAGUUUUGAUCCGAUUUUGAUGAAACUUGAAAUAUAAGGAUAAAACCCAAAGAUGGUAAACUUCCUGAAUUAUUGCCCUUGAUUGUACAAAAAAUCACGUUUUUAGCUUGUGGUCCCUGUAGAGAUAACAAUUUUUAUCCGGUUUAAAAAAAACGUGUAAAUAUAUAACCGUUACACACUAUAAGAUCUUGGUUCCUUUUGAUAAUCGCAUAUGUGAUUGUAAUACGAAGGUUGUGGACCCGCUAGAGGUCACAAUUUUUAUCCAAUUUUGAUGAAACUUAAAACUUAUUUUUAUAUCCCAAAGAUCCCAGUCCUUUUUGAUAUUUGCGCAUUUCAGACCAUAACUUUCUAGAUUAUUGCCCCUGAUUGUACAAAAAAUCACGUUUGUUUUCAGCUUGUUCUCUAUCCACCUCUUGCAAAAUGUGGGCGUAUCCUGCCUGGCAGCCACUGGUUAUAUGUUUUGUAUUUAUACUUGGUGAUGUAGCUAUUAAAUCUUAUCUCUGUAA